UGGGGAAUAUUGCACAAUGGGCGCAAGCCUGAUGCAGCCAUGCCGCGUGUAUGAAGAAGGCCUUCGGGUUGUAAAGUACUUUCAGCGGGGAGGAAGGGAGUAAAGUUAAUACCUUUGCUCAUUGACGUUACCCGCAGAAGAAGCACCGGCUAACUCCGUGCCAGCAGCCGCGGUAAUACGGAGGGUGCAAGCGUUAAUCGGAAUUACUGGGCGUAAAGCGCACGCAGGCGGUUGAUUGAGUCAGAUGUGAAAUCCCCGGGCUUAACCCGGGAAUUGCAUCUGAAACUGGUCAGCUAGAGUCUUGUAGAGGGGGGUAGAAUUCCAUGUGUAGCGGUGAAAUGCGUAGAGAUGAGGAGGAAUACCGGUGGCGAAGGCGGCCCCCUGGACAAAGACUGACGCUCAGGGGCGAAAGCGUGGGGAGCAAACAGG
This 429-nucleotide ribosomal RNA is filed under the name Chloroflexota bacterium. RNAcentral describes it as "Chloroflexi bacterium partial 16S ribosomal RNA". It matches the Rfam family "Bacterial small subunit ribosomal RNA", at positions 355 to 776 of the family's 1533-position model. Lineage: Bacteria; Bacillati; Chloroflexota. The record is from RNAcentral.